This 255-nucleotide ribosomal RNA is filed under the name uncultured bacterium. RNAcentral describes it as "partial 16S ribosomal RNA". It matches the Rfam family "Bacterial small subunit ribosomal RNA", at positions 524 to 776 of the family's 1533-position model. The record is from RNAcentral.
UACGUAGGGUGCAAGCGUUGUCCGGAAUUAUUGGGCGUAAAGAGCUCGUAGGCGGUUCGGUAAGUCGGGUGUGAAAACUCUGGGCUCAACCCAGAGAGGCCACCCGAUACUGCUGUGACUAGAGUGCGGUAGGGGAGCGGGGGAAUUCCUGGUGUAGCGGUGAAAUGCGCAGAUAUCAGGAGGAACACCGGUGGUGUAGACGGCUUUCUGGACCGACACUGACGCUGAGACACGAAAGCGUGGGUAGCAAACAGG